RNAcentral lists this ribosomal RNA (592 nucleotides) under Legionella rubrilucens. RNAcentral describes it as "bacterial SSU rRNA". It matches the Rfam family "Bacterial small subunit ribosomal RNA", at positions 272 to 855 of the family's 1533-position model. Lineage: Bacteria; Pseudomonadati; Pseudomonadota; Gammaproteobacteria; Legionellales; Legionellaceae. The record is from RNAcentral.
GGCGACGAUCGGUAGCUGGUCUGAGAGGAUGACCAGCCACACUGGAACUGAGACACGGUCCAGACUCCUACGGGAGGCAGCAGUGGGGAAUAUUGGACAAUGGGGGGAACCCUGAUCCAGCAAUGCCGCGUGUGUGAAGAAGGCCUGAGGGUUGUAAAGCACUUUCAGUGGGGAGGAGGGUUGACAGGUUAAGAGCUGGUUGACUGGACGUUACCCACAGAAGAAGCACCGGCUAACUCCGUGCCAGCAGCCGCGGUAAUACGGAGGGUGCGAGCGUUAAUCGGAAUUACUGGGCGUAAAGGGUGCGUAGGUGGUUUGAUAAGUUAUCUGUGAAAGCCCUGGGCUCAACCUGGGAACUGCAGAUAAGACUGUUGAACUCGAGUAUAGGAGAGGGUAGUGGAAUUUCCGGUGUAGCGGUGAAAUGCGUAGAGAUCGGAAGGAACACCAGUGGCGAAGGCGGCUACCUGGCCUAAUACUGACACUGAGGCACGAAAGCGUGGGGAGCAAACAGGAUUAGAUACCCUGGUAGUCCACGCUGUAAACGAUGUCAACUAGCUGUUGGUCUUAUGAAUGAGAUUAGUGGCGCAGCAAC